AACGAACGCUGGCGGCAUGCCUAACACAUGCAAGUCGAACGAUGCCUUCGGGCAUAGUGGCGCACGGGUGCGUAACGCGUGGGAAUCUGCCCUUGGCUUCGGAAUAACAGUUAGAAAUGACUGCUAAUACCGGAUGAUGUCCCCCUGAGAGAUCUUGGGGACCAAAGAUUUAUCGGCCAGGGAUGAGCCCGCGUAGGAUUAGGUAGUUGGUGGGGUAAAGGCCUACCAAGCCGACGAUCCUUAGCUGGUCUGAGAGGAUGAUCAGCCACACUGGGACUGAGACACGGCCCAGACUCCUACGGGAGGCAGCAGUGGGGAAUAUUGGACAAUGGGGGGAACCCUGAUACAGCAAUGCCGCGUGAGUGAUGAAGGCCUUAGGGUUGUAAAGCUCUUUUACCAGGGAUGAUAAUGACAGUACCUGGAGAAUAAGCGCCGGCUAACUCCGUG
This 447-nucleotide ribosomal RNA is filed under the name uncultured bacterium. RNAcentral's name for it is "partial 16S ribosomal RNA". It matches the Rfam family "Bacterial small subunit ribosomal RNA", at positions 29 to 507 of the family's 1533-position model. The record is from RNAcentral.